GAGUUUGAUCCUGGCUCAGAACGAACGCUGGCGGCAGGCUUAACACAUGCAAGUCGAGCGCCCCGCAAGGGGAGCGGCAGACGGGUGAGUAACGCGUGGGAAUCUACCCAACUCUACGGAAUAACCCAGGGAAACUUGUGCUAAUACCGUAUAAGCCCUUCGGGGAAAGAUUUAUCGGAAAGGAUGAGCCCGCGUUGGAUUAGCUAGUUGGUGGGGUAAAGGCCUACCAAGGCGACGAUCCAUAGCUGGUCUGAGAGGAUGAUCAGCCACAUUGGGACUGAGACACGGCCCAAACUCCUACGGGAGGCAGCAGUGGGGAAUAUUGGACAAUGGGCGCAAGCCUGAUCCAGCCAUGCCGCGUGAGUGAUGAAGGCCCUAGGGUUGUAAAGCUCUUUCACCGGUGAAGAUAAUGACGGUAACCGGAGAAGAAGCCCCGGCUAACUUCGUGCCAGCAGCCGCCGUAAG
RNAcentral lists this ribosomal RNA (465 nucleotides) under uncultured Alphaproteobacteria bacterium. RNAcentral's name for it is "bacterial SSU rRNA". It matches the Rfam family "Bacterial small subunit ribosomal RNA", at positions 9 to 524 of the family's 1533-position model. The record is from RNAcentral. Lineage: Bacteria; Pseudomonadati; Pseudomonadota; Alphaproteobacteria.